AGUACUCGGAGUACCUGUCGUACUCGCCUCACUCAGGACUCACCUUGCAGUUGGGGCUCGACUUCUUGAAAACUCUGCGGUUUGGAAAGAGGAAGCAGAAGCAGAGUUAGUGGGUCUGGUUUCAUUCGAGUGUCUCUUCUGGGGCGACGCAAGCAGAGCUGACCGGUGCUGCACGGACGACAGGGAGCGCUGGGGGAGGUUGGCGGUUCAAACCCCGGCUGACACAAACCUCUAAUUGCUUCUUUUUUUUAAAUGCAAUGUAAGUCGCUUUGGAGAAAAGCUUCAGCUAAAUGACCUGUAAGGUGAUCAGGAACACGUGAAGUGAUCCCUUCAGAUUGAGCUUCCAUCGGAUCAUCAGAUCUACUCUACUGAUUAUUGAGAACCAGUUUUCAGAGCGUCGUGGGAUUUUGGUCGUGAGCGGCGGCGCGACUCCACGCGGGAUCGUGAUUGACAACGAGGCAGCUGCUCGCCCCCGAACAUCCUCCGAAGUGGGCCAAACGGAUUCUACACAGCGACGUACACGUAGCCGCGUCCAAUGAGGCCAAUAUACCAUGAUGUCCAUGUGAAGUCACUUGGAUCAAGGUUGAAAUGGGGGUGAAUCCACCUUACGGGCGAUGUGACGUGGACUGAAGACCCAACACACGCUGAGCAAGUCCAGACUUACGUCAAAGUAUCUGCACCCAUCAGCUGUGGACUUGCACACUUGCACAUGAACUGCAGGUUAUUCUCCAUCUUGCUAUUCAUGUUUCUUCACACUCGCACAGAAAAAGCUCAACACCAAACAGAAUUUCACUACAUACUUUACGUCAGUAUUUCUCUGUAUGUGACGAAUAAACCUCCUUCCUUGGAUCUAUAAAAGGCAGCAACUGUACUUA
Molecule: long non-coding RNA, 875 nt
Organism: Gasterosteus aculeatus aculeatus (three-spined stickleback)
Lineage: Eukaryota; Metazoa; Chordata; Actinopteri; Perciformes; Gasterosteidae
Source: RefSeq, a predicted model, not a curated record